Molecule: non-coding RNA, 2051 nt
Organism: Oryctolagus cuniculus (rabbit)
Lineage: Eukaryota; Metazoa; Chordata; Mammalia; Lagomorpha; Leporidae
Source: RefSeq, a predicted model, not a curated record
GGACGUGAACUUGCCUCAGUGAUGGCCUUCUGCUCUCCUACAAGUUGCUUGCUGUCCCCAACCUUGCUCUCUUACAUGAGUGGUGACCCCUUGGACCCAGCCUGGUCUAAUGGCGCUGGGUUCCUCCAUUCCUCACAUUUUACAUUUCUAAAUUCUACCAUACGUUUAUUUUGCUCUUCUGUUGUAGACAGUCUCAGUGAGAGCAUCUGUUGGAAUUAUCCAGAGUUCUAGUGGGUUUGUUAGCACACAGAUCGCUGGCCCCGCCCCCGGAGUCUCUGAGUCAGUACAUCUGGAUGCGGACCAAGGAGAUGCCUUUCUAACAAGCUCCCAGGGGAUGGUGAUGGUGCUGGGAAGUGAUGAGUUUGAAGGAUCUUCUCUCCAUUCUACAUUGAUGAUACUUUUGACGUGAGCCUGAAUCCCUGUCUCACGACAAAUACUAAUGAACUUGAGGGCUGGCGUGUUGUUGCAGAUAACAACGGAAGGGUAUAAAAUACAAUGAACUGUGAUGGUGUGGAGAUACUGACAUCAGCACAAGAGGGCUCGCUGUAAGAAUUCCAGGUCUGCUUUCAUGAAUAUGAGACUCUAAGAAGUGGCACAAUCGUGAGCUGUGGGGACAAUGUCACCUUGAUCCACCAAUUUACAGCCGCCAGCCGUCAAAGGAGCUAAACAUCUUCAUACGCUUCCCAAUCCACUUUCAUUUGAUCACCCAAAGAGGUGCCUGGGACAAUAGUCGUGGGAUGUGACAUUGAUGUGAUAUAUAUUUGCUUCAACUAAAAGGCACAGGUGCCUUUGAAGAGCUCGAAACCAGGAGAGGAUUCUGAUCCCCUUUCAGCUCCCUGGCACCCUGAGGAAGUAAAAACAGGGUUUCCAUGCAUCUGACUCUUGCUUGUCUGAAGUUUCCCUGAAUGACAGUCAUCCCAGAAGCUCCCAAUCCGUCGUUGCCUCCUGCACCACCACAACAUGUGCCUGGGAACCUUUGGCAUUGCAUCCUUCUUCAGUUCCUCUUUACUCGCAAAAAUUUCUUUGAAUUUUAUAUCACGAUGGUAGCAUAAAACCCAAACACUUGAGUAAGGGCAUUUGGCUGCCUGCUCUGUUUAAUUGAUGUCUGACUGGUUUCUUGUCCCACUUCCCUUCAAUUUAGCUCUGGAAACAUCUGUCUUUUUUAUCCACCAAUCGAGUCUCGAAAGGCUAGCAAACCUGUUAGAUAAAAGAUCAAAGUUAUGAAUUCUGAUUUAAUAAAUGUGCAUGUGAGAGAUGAUUCAUGGCAUGUAUGAUAGCUUUCAAUUGCUUUCUCAAACAGUUCAUGCUUCAUUUCAUUAAGAGCUUCAGUCAAUGCCAACUGAUUAAUUAUCACGGCAUGCAACAUCUUUUGUUUAGAAAACUCAUGCAUACGGCCCUUAUGGGACUUGACCAUAUAGGCAUUUAUUUAAGAUGCAAAUAAACUGUUUUAAAAUAGAUCAUUCUAGAAUUGUUUUCAGAAUCCCACUAAAAUGAUACUGGAAACCAUUCAUUUCUGCUUAAAAGAUGUCUACCGAGUCCCUCCAAGUGCCGUAAGCACUGGGAAGAUGCACAGUCCCUGCCCUCAAUAAGCUUGUGGUCCAAUGCUGCAAGCCCUUUUACGGAUAUGAUUUCAGCCUGAGGCGUUACGAGCCUAGUGGUUAAGGGUUUGUGGUGUGGAGCCCUAGCUGGACCACAGAGUGGCUGUGUGGCCUGGAACAAGCUGUAUCCACUCCCCAGGAUUUGGGUUCUCCUGUCUCAAAGGACCAUCCUGGCCACUGCGCCUCCCUUGUCCUGGCAGUAGUACAUUACCCAGUCCUAAUUCCCCAGCUGUCAUGUUUGCCUCUCCCCUCCAUUUCAACAAAGGAGGCAAGUGAAUGGAAACACUGUUUAGUGAAGGCAGUUAGAGCAUGAAGUCGAAUUCUUCAUUUCAGAAGAUGUAUUGAUCUUUUGCGCACACUUUGAGUGUUCAUACUGUUGCCAUAAUUGCAAAAGUCAAAGGGAAAAUCUCAUUUUGGGGGCAAGAAAUUAAACAACCUAAUGGAUAGAAAUUA